AGUGAACGCUGGCGGUAGGCCUAACACAUGCAAGUCGAACGGCAGCACAGUAAGAGCUUGCUCUUACGGGUGGCGAGUGGCGGACGGGUGAGGAAUACAUCGGAAUCUACUUUUUCGUGGGGGUUAACGUAGGGAAACUUACGCUAAUACCGCAUACGACCUACGGGUGAAAGCAGGGGAUCUUCGGACCUUGCGCGAUUGAAUGAGCCGAUGUCGGAUUAGCUAGUUGGCGGGGUAAAGGCCCACCAAGGCGACGAUCCGUAGCUGGUCUGAGAGGAUGAUCAGCCACACUGGAACUGAGACACGGUCCAGACUCCUACGGGAGGCAGCAGUGGGGAAUAUUGGACAAUGGGCGCGAGCCUGAUCCAGCCAUACCGCGUGGGUGAAGAAGGCCUUCGGGUUGUAAAGCCCUUUUGUUGGGAAAGAAAAGCAGCAGGUUAAUACCCCGCUGUUCUGACGGUACCCAAAGAAUAAGCACCGGCUAACUUCGUG
RNAcentral lists this ribosomal RNA (492 nucleotides) under uncultured bacterium. RNAcentral's name for it is "partial 16S ribosomal RNA". It matches the Rfam family "Bacterial small subunit ribosomal RNA", at positions 29 to 507 of the family's 1533-position model. The record is from RNAcentral.